This 247-nucleotide long non-coding RNA is filed under the name Elaeis guineensis (African oil palm). RNAcentral's name for it is "long non-coding RNA (EGUI_LNC028472)". Lineage: Eukaryota; Viridiplantae; Streptophyta; Magnoliopsida; Arecales; Arecaceae. The record is from RNAcentral.
CCCGAGUUGGGAGCUUGGAUAGGAGCUGAUAGAAUUAUUUUCUUCUGGUUCUCCAUGACGAUCUUGACGAGUCAUUGGUUGUAAUCAUCAGUGCUGGACCGCUUAUAAGAUCAACAACAAAGAGUUGAUGUCUUCGAUAUAUGGCCGAGAGUGACGUUCGGGAAUGAAAUCUGAUGAAGUUGCCCGUUCUGUUAUUAGGUUGUCUAUAUGAUAUUCAUCAUUUAGAGUCCACCUCAAUACUGCAGCU